ACAAUUAUAUAUACACAUAUACAGAAGUCUGAUCGUAGUUUCAAAUAUGAGCAAGGAAAGUUGUGUGAGUGGUGUACCACACCAGAUUUUUCUUUAGUUAUCAAAAUCGAGUGUCUGUCUCGUUCAUAAAAUUAUUAUAUACAAUAUUUAUAGUGUUGAACUUCAACCACAGCUGUUAAGCUAUUGAAGUUCUUUUCUUCAUUUUCCAUCAUGAUACUGUUUUCCCUAAUAAUUACAUUGUAAAAACAUUUGUAAAACAUGUUGUGAAUAAAAUUUCAGUUUCAGUUUUUCAGUUUCAAUUGGCUGUCUGAUAUAUGGGAGGAAUGAUCUCGAACAGGAAGCGAACCUAGGCAGGACGAUCUAAUCGCACAGAUUAGAUGAGCGCCGUGCUUUCGAUUCUCAUGUUGAUUGGGCUUCUGCUUGAUUGUAUUAUUUGGAUGAUUCCUUGUUUUCUCUCAUUAUAAUUUUCACCAACACAAUUAUGCUCAUGACUUCCAAACGGCUUUAUCUACGUUUAUUCCAAAGUCAUCUUAUCGACUACGCCAUUUAUGAUUUACAAAUGCAGUCAGAUCAUAUGUCGAUUUCUAUUUGUUCUAUAACUCAAUUUUUAAAGAAUAAUAUGAGUUAACCUUUUGUAAUAUGAAUAAUUAUUGUUGAGCUAUUUUAGUGGGUUCCAUCACCUUGUAUUACCACAUGGUAAAAACCAUAUUCUUGCUAAUUUUUGUAUUAUAACAAUAAAAGGUAAAGUUGUGGUACCGGUACUUGAUCUCUUUGAAGCAUUUGAUCUGCUUUCAUGCCAGCCAGCUAUUAAUAUAAUAAAUUAUAUAAUUCAUUCAAUAAUACAUGUUGAAUAUUUUGUAACAUCCACUUGUAUAUUGUGAUAUUUAUUUAAACUCUGUUCGUUCUUUUAUUGUAAAAAUGCACUUUUUAUCAAAACUCUUUAGAAAUUUUUAUUUUGAUAUUCUGUAAAACUUUCAUGUUUAUAGUUUUAUUUGUUUCUGUUAGUUGUUUCUAUUGUGAACAUGCAUUUUGUAUCCAAAUCCUAUCAAAAUUAAAUAAUGCAAAGCUAGUGGA
Long non-coding RNA from Nilaparvata lugens (brown planthopper), 1074 nucleotides. RefSeq lists it as uncharacterized. The record is from RefSeq and is a predicted model, not a curated record. Lineage: Eukaryota; Metazoa; Arthropoda; Insecta; Hemiptera; Delphacidae. The transcript is spliced from 2 exons.